Molecule: ribosomal RNA, 1206 nt
Filed under: metagenome
Description: bacterial SSU rRNA
Rfam family: Bacterial small subunit ribosomal RNA
Source: RNAcentral
AGAGUUUGAUUCUGGCUCAGAACGAACGCUGGCAGCGUGGAUUAGGCAUGCAAGUCGAACGGGAACCUACGGGUUCAAGUUUUCGAACGAGAACCUGUGGGGGAUAGUGGCGAAAGGGUGAGUAACGCGUGGGUAAUCUGCCCCUAAGUUGGGGAUAACGGUUGGAAACGGCCGAUAAUACCGAAUGUGGUCUCCCGAGGCAUCUCGGGGUGACUAAAGGUGGGGACCCUUCGGGGCCUGCCGCUUGGAGAGGAACCCGCGUACCAUCAGCUUGUUGGUGGGGUAACGGCCUACCAAGGCUUACGGUUAGCUGGUCUGAGAGGAUGGUCAGCCACACUGGGACUGAGACACUGCCCAGACUCCUACGGGAGGCUGCAGUCGAGGAUCAUUGUCAAUGCGCGAAAGCGUGAACAUGCGACGCUGCGUGGAGGAUGACGGCCUUCGGGUUGUAAACUCCUGUCAUUCGGGACAAAUUGUCCGGCCCCCAAUACGGGUUGGGCUUGAUGGUACCGGAAGAGGAAGCCACGGCUAACUCUGUGCCAGCAGCCGCGGUAUACAGAGGUGGCGAGCGUUGUUCGGAUUUACUGGGCGUAAAGGGUGCGUAGGUGGCAACGUGUGUCGAGUGUGAAAGCCCACUGCCCAACAGUGGAAAUGCACUCGAAACUGCGUAGCUAGAGUACAGGAGGGGAGAGCGGAAUUCUUGGUGUAGCGGUGAAAUGCGUUGAUAUCAAGAAGAACACCGGUGGCGAAGGCGGCUCUCUGGAAUGUUACUGACACUGAUGCACGAAAGCUGGGGGAGCGAACAGGAUUAGAUACCCUGGUAGUCCCAGCCGUAAACGGUGCGCACUUGGUGUGGGAGGUAUUGACCCCUUCCGUGCCGGAGCUAACGCGUUAAGUGCGCCGCCUGGGGAGUACGGCCGCAAGGCUAAAACUCAAAGAAAUUGACGGGGGCCCGCACAAGCGGAGGAGCAUGUGGCUUAAUUCGAUGCAACGCGAAGAACCUUACCAGGGCUUGACAUGCAGCUGCAAGCCCCCCGAAAGGGGGGAAGCCUUCGAGGGUGCUGCACAGGUGCUGCAUGGCUGUCGUCAGUUCGUGCCGUGAGGUGUUGGGUUAAGUCCCGCAACGAACGCAACCCUUGUGUCUAGUUGCCACUUCGCCUUUGGCGGAAGCACUCUAGACAGACUGCCCGUACAAGCGGGAGGAAG